Non-coding RNA from Vigna umbellata (rice bean), 1112 nucleotides. Lineage: Eukaryota; Viridiplantae; Streptophyta; Magnoliopsida; Fabales; Fabaceae. The record is from RefSeq and is a predicted model, not a curated record.
ACAGAAGAAGAAGAAGAAGAGAAGAAGAGGUGGAGAGUGAGAAACACAGCGGAGUGGAAAUGGAAUCUGGUCCUCCUCCCAAUGAUCUCUGUUCAAUCUGCCAUGCCAACUUUCGCAUUCCUUGUCAAGCCAAUUACUCUCACUGGUUUUGUGCACGCAUCAGGAACAAGCUCUUGCAAAUGCCCUCUCUGUCGCCGACCCAUCACUCUCUUAAUCCCCACCGAACACUCUCUCAGCCCGCGUCAUGAUCCUGAAAUUGCUCAGAUUCUCUUCAAAUUCAUGCUUAUAACCGUGUCUUCGGUGGCCAACCCUCCUCUUUUUUUCAGGCUGCUUCGGGAGUUCCUAAACCCUCAAAGAUCCCUUCUGUGUGUGGCUGGAGUGUGCUGUGUGCAACCAAGGAGAGGGAAGAACAAAAGAGAGCAAGAGAGGAGAUGUUUCAAAAUGUGCAGAGAUAUGCGUGAAGGAAAAUAUCUCUCGAAUAAUAACUAACGCCCUAAAAAAUCUUUGACCAUUUAAUUUAUUAAAUAUAUAUUAAUACAAUAUAGGUAAUGUUGUCGUUCUGGAAAUAUUUGGAAUUGCAGGAUGAAGUGAUUGGAGGAGGUGCCCACUCUUUAUUAUCUUUCCAAGUAUUUCUUUGUCAUAUAACCCUUAUAUUUCUGAAUCGUGCUAUCGUCUUCUGUAGGGUUCCAGUGGUAGAAGAGGAGAAUCAGUAACUCCGACAAGUAGUCGUCUCCUCGCAUUUCGCCCUCGCUCGCUUUUCUCCCUCGCUCGCAGUCGCCGUCGGCCGCAAUCUCGCCGUCAGCGGUGGUCGCGUCGUGCCUCCUUCGGUGGUCGCACUGUUUCUCCUCUGUUUGUGUGAUCUGUUUCGCACUCAUCUGCGUGUGCCUCGCCUCUGUUUCACUCAGCUGUUCGUGUGAUCUGUUUCACUCAUCUGUUCGUGUCCUUCGUGUGGUUUAAUGUAAUGAAAUAUUUUUUGUCUCACAUAAAAACAAUGAAUAUUAUGCGACAAUAAUCAAAUAAGUGUAUAAUGCAAUAACACAUGAACUAAAUUUAGAAACAAUAAAUAAGCAAAAUAAGAAUACAUAAAAUAAAUAAAAUAAAAUACAAACUUA